Molecule: unclassified non-coding RNA, 508 nt
Filed under: Hevea brasiliensis (rubber tree)
Lineage: Eukaryota; Viridiplantae; Streptophyta; Magnoliopsida; Malpighiales; Euphorbiaceae
Source: RNAcentral
GAAGCAAAGAGCUUCCUGCUGACUCUUCAGCUAUCUCUGUAGGCGGUGACAUGCUUUCUGGAAAAGUGUGCGAGGAAACGAUCAACAAUGAAGCAGGGAUGCAAUCAGAGAAAUCUCAGAGUGGUGGUAAUGCUGAGGAGAGCCAGAUGGCUCUCAAGCUGAGCUUUACACUACCAGCUUCUUGCUAUGCAACUAUGGCUGUGAGGGAGCUGCUGAAAACAUCCACUUCUGUUGCAUUUCACAAAUCACUGAAUGAUUAAGCAAACUCUCGUCUACAAAGAACAUUUUGGCUUUUGAAGUGGUUACCUACUUACCUUUGCUAAGUACCAUUGCGUUAGAUAGUUUCGGGGAACAUUGUUUUCCAGUGAUCAAAGUGACGUUGCAAAGGAAAUCAGCCACGAGUUUCAGUCUCCGCCCUCGGUUGUACUGCUAAUUCACCUUUCGAUAAGCUUUACUGAUGAUAUAGGAUUAGCAAAUGUGUAGUAGAAUGUAAAGAGCCAAUUGAAUC